UCCUCAUAGCUCAGUUGGUAAAGAAUCUGCCUGCAAUGCAGGAGACCCUGGUUUGAUUCCUGGGUCAGGAA
This 71-nucleotide transfer RNA is filed under the name Bos taurus (domestic cattle). It matches the Rfam family "tRNA". Rfam says of the family: Transfer RNA (tRNA) molecules are approximately 80 nucleotides in length. Their secondary structure includes four short double-helical elements and three loops (D, anti-codon, and T loops). RNAcentral also lists the same sequence under 6 other names. The record is from Rfam by way of RNAcentral. Lineage: Eukaryota; Metazoa; Chordata; Mammalia; Artiodactyla; Bovidae.